UAUCUAUUUCAGUAGACAAUGAAGACAUUGAAAUUAUUAAAGAUUGUGUUAACCUUGGUUCAGUCAUCAGUGUAAAUGGAGACUGCAGCCAAGAAACCAAGAGAAGACUGAGACUUGGAAGGGCAGCAAUAAAGAAUUAGGAAAGAUUGGCAAGUGCAGGAAGUGUCAUUAGAGACCAAGGCCAAGGUUAUCCACACCCUCGUAUUCCCAACUACUAUGCACGGAUGAGAAAGCUGCACAGUGAAGAAGGCUGACAGGAAAAAAAGGGACUCACUUGAAAUACAGUGUUGGAGGAGAGCUCUGCAGACACCUGGACCGCCAGAAAGAUGAACGAGUGGGCGCAAGAGCAAAUGAAGCCUGAACUAUCGCUGGAGGCAAAAAUGAUACUGAGGCUGUCCUACUUUGGACACAUCAUGAGAAGGCAGGACUCUCUGGAAAGAACAAUAACGCCGGGAAAAGUAGAAGGCAGCAGGAAAAGGAAGACUAAAUGUAAGGUGGAUUGACUCCAUCGAGGCAGCCAUAGGCAUCAGUCUACAGGAGCUGAGAGGCUGCUGUUUCUUCUGAAAUCUUCCGGGGGGUGAAGGUCAGAAGGUGAGCCACAGAACCGCUGUUCCCUCGUUUCGGACUUCUCCAAUUUUAAGGAACCUGAUGCAUGUUAGUAUGAUGAAGAGUACCUUUUCUAAUCUGCUCCUCAGACGCCGUUGGAAAUGAAGAAUGAAUAAGUAAUGUUUUCAAAGCCCGUGGGAAAUCAUGAGGCUACAGAUUCUAUCUUCUGAACUAACAGUCUGGAGAGGAAUAGUUCCAGCAAACUCUUUGGUGCACGAAGCGCGGCCCGUUUAACAGGAGCCAGGAGACAUCUCGGUGCUGUUUCUGAGAAAGCAGGGUGGGUCCCCACCUUUAAUGGAAGGGAAACGAAGUUGCCUACAGUGUCAGCCUUGGGCAGGAGGAUUUACAGUGUGCCUGGAUUUGUUACAUUUUUUUCUUUUAAAACGACAUCCCCAUGAAAGUCUCCUUUUGGGAGUUUGGGAGUUGCGCCUGGUGGACGCAACUACUCUGAUAAAUAGAUUUUAAGACAAAAUGCAUUAGUAGGCAUAAAGAAGGUCAUUUCAUAACCUACCACAGACAAUUCACCAUGUGCGUGUACGGAAUAAUAUGCCCUCAAAUAUAUUUAAAGCAGAAAUCGAUUGAUUUAUAAAGAGAAAUUUGAAAAUCCGUAUGUACAGAUUUUUUUUUUUUUAAGAUUUUAUUUUUUCCUUUUUCUCCCCAAAGCCCCCCGGUACAUAGUUGUGUAUUCUUCGUUGUGGGUUCUUCUAGUUGUGGCACGUGGGACGCUGCCUCAGCGUGGUCUGAUGAGCAGUGCCAUGUCCGCGCCCAGGAUUCGAACCAACGAAACACUGGGCCGCCUGCAGCGGAGCGCGCGAACUUAAUCACUCGGCCACAGGGCCAGCCCCUGUAUGUACAGAUUUUUACAAACAUAUCUCUUAGUAAUCGAUAGAGUAAAAGGUCAAAAAUUAGUAAAGAUAUUGAAGGUUUGAACAAUCCAAUUAACUAGCUUGAUCUAGUCUACAGAUAUAUAACCCAACAGCUGAUCGCUUGCUGGACCACGAAGGAAAUCUCCUCCACAAUAGCAAAGACUCAGCAACAUACAGAAUGUGUUCUCUGACCAGAGGCUAAUAAAAUAUGAACUUGAAAAGAAAAAGAUACUUGAAAUUAUAUUUUGGGAAAUUAGAGAGACGGAAAGACACUUCUAAAGACUGUUUGGACAACGCAACAGUCAAAAUAGAAUAAGUUAUGCUGCCGUAAUGCACAGACCUGAAAUCCCUCAAUAUCUUAAAACAAUGGAGGUUUAUUUCCCACUCAGGGUACAUUUCCAGUGUAAUCAGCUGGGAGCUCGGUCCCACAUUUUCCUCACUCUGGGACCUGAUGGAGCUUCCACCACUGGGCAUUACCAGAUAGUACGUAGCUCUUAAAGUUUUCUGCCCCAAAAUGACAGACAUCAUUUCCACUCAUACGAUGUUGUCCAGAGCACGUCUAUUGCCAUGGCUGACUUCAAGAAGGAGGGGCCCUGACCAGAAAGAGGAGAACUGGACACGUCAGUGACCAGCACCAAAGAUGAUCACGAAGAGGAAAUAAUCAAGAAAGCGGGGAAACAUUUACACUUAAAGAAUAAUGAAAAUGUAACAUUAAAACUUGUAGGAUGUAGCUAAAGCGGUAGAGUAAAAUUUACAACCCUAAAUGAUUAUAUUAGAAAGAGGAGACGGACAAUUACAGACCUAACCGUUUAUUCAAGAAAGUAAAGUAUCCUAAAAAUAGCGGAGAAAAGAAAAUAAUUAAGAGAUACAUUGAUGAAACAGUCACAGAAACCAAAACACAAUAUAGAGAAAUGGAAAAAAAUAAAACUGCUGACUGGUCGGGCUCCUUAGAAGCAGACUCUGAGAUGAGGAGAAGUGUGUCCCAGACCUAUUAAUCUACCCUUGAUUAAAAAGUCUGUUCUCUC
Equus asinus (donkey) is the source of this 2497-nucleotide long non-coding RNA. NCBI's taxonomy places the organism in Eukaryota, Metazoa, Chordata, Mammalia, Perissodactyla, Equidae. The record is from Ensembl.